This 460-nucleotide ribosomal RNA is filed under the name uncultured bacterium. RNAcentral describes it as "partial 16S ribosomal RNA". It matches the Rfam family "Bacterial small subunit ribosomal RNA", at positions 338 to 795 of the family's 1533-position model. The record is from RNAcentral.
CCUACGGGAGGCAGCAGUGAGGAAUAUUGGUCAAUGGGCGCUAGCCUGAACCAGCCAAGUAGCGUGAAGGAUGACUGCCCUAUGGGUUGUAAACUUCUUUUAUAUGGGAAUAAAGUGCAGUAUGUAUACUGCUUUGCAUGUACCUUAUGAAUAAGGAUCGGCUAACUCCGUUCCAGCAGCCGCGUUAAUACGGAGGAUUCGAGCGUUAUCCGGAUUUGUUGGGUUUAAAGGGAGGGUAGGAGGGUUGGUAAGUGAGUUGUGACAGUUCGGGGCUCAACCGGAAAAUUGCAGUUGAUACUGGCAUCCUUGAGUACAGUAGAGGUAGGCGGAAUUCGUGGUGUAGCGGUGAAAUGCUUAGAUAGCACGAAGAACUCCGAUUGCGAAGGCAGCCUGCUGGACUGUAACUGACGCUGAGGCUCGAAAGUGUGGGUAUCAAACAGGAUUAGAUACCCCAGUAGUC